This is a non-coding RNA of Paramarasmius palmivorus, 92 nucleotides long. The record is from the annotation of a GenBank genome assembly. NCBI's taxonomy places the organism in Eukaryota, Fungi, Basidiomycota, Agaricomycetes, Agaricales, Marasmiaceae.
UCCGUUAUGGUGUAGUGGCUAACAUUAUCGCCUCUCCUAACUUGCCUCGCAGGUAGUCGCGAUAUCCCAGGGUUCAAUUCCCUGCAACGGAA